Molecule: transfer RNA, 74 nt
Filed under: Candidatus Yanofskybacteria bacterium RIFCSPHIGHO2_02_FULL_43_17
Lineage: Bacteria; Candidatus Yanofskyibacteriota
Description: tRNA-Ala
Rfam family: tRNA
About the family: Transfer RNA (tRNA) molecules are approximately 80 nucleotides in length.
Source: RNAcentral
GGGCCUGUGGUAUAAUGGCAGUACGCCGCUUUUGCAAAGCGGAGAUGGGAGUUCGAUUCUCCCCAGGUCCACCA